GACGAACGCUGGCGGCGUGCUUAACACAUGCAAGUCGAACGAAAAGCGCUGGAUGCUUGCUUAUAUGAGUCUUAGAGGCGUGCGGGUGAGGAACGCGUAAUCAACCUGCCCUUCAGAGGGGGACAACAGAUGGAAACGACUGCUAAUACCGCAUACGAUCUGCUCUCGGCGUCGAGGAUAGUUGAAGGGUGGCGGCUACAUGUAGGCUAUCACUGAAGUGGGGGUUUGCGUCUGAUUAGCUAGUUGGUGGGCUAACGGCCUACCAGGGGGAUGAUCAGUAACCGGUGCGAGAGGAUGAACGGCCACAUUGGGACUGAGACACGGCCCAGACUCCUACGGGAGGCAGCAGUGGGGAAUCGUCGGCAAUGGACGGAAGUCUGACGGAGCAACGCCGCGUUAGUGAUGACGGCCCUCGGGUUGGAAAGCUGUGUUAAUCGGGACGAACGGCUUUCUUGCGAACAGUGAGAUGGAUUGACGGUACCGGAAAAGAAAGCCACGGCUAACUCCGUG
This 510-nucleotide ribosomal RNA is filed under the name uncultured bacterium. Its description in RNAcentral is "partial 16S ribosomal RNA". It matches the Rfam family "Bacterial small subunit ribosomal RNA", at positions 28 to 507 of the family's 1533-position model. The record is from RNAcentral.